This 73-nucleotide transfer RNA is filed under the name Stegodyphus mimosarum. It matches the Rfam family "tRNA". Rfam says of the family: Transfer RNA (tRNA) molecules are approximately 80 nucleotides in length. Their secondary structure includes four short double-helical elements and three loops (D, anti-codon, and T loops). Further hydrogen bonds mediate the characteristic L-shaped molecular structure. tRNAs have two regions of fundamental functional importance: the anti-codon, which is responsible for specific mRNA codon recognition, and the 3' end, to which the tRNAs corresponding amino acid is attached (by aminoacyl-tRNA synthetases). tRNAs cope with the degeneracy of the genetic code in two manners: having more than one tRNA (with a specific anti-codon) for a particular amino acid; and 'wobble' base-pairing, i.e. permitting non-standard base-pairing at the 3rd anti-codon position. Lineage: Eukaryota; Metazoa; Arthropoda; Arachnida; Araneae; Eresidae. The record is from Rfam by way of RNAcentral.
ACCUUCGUGGGGUAGUGGUCAGCACGCUCGACGUUUAACCGAGAGGUCCGUGGCUCGAUUCCCGGUGAAGGCG